RNAcentral lists this ribosomal RNA (254 nucleotides) under uncultured bacterium. RNAcentral's name for it is "partial 16S ribosomal RNA". It matches the Rfam family "Bacterial small subunit ribosomal RNA", at positions 524 to 776 of the family's 1533-position model. The record is from RNAcentral.
UACGUAGGGGGCUAGCGUUGUCCGGAAUCAUUGGGCGUAAAGAGCGUGUAGGCGGUUCGGCAAGUCGGAUGUGAAAUCUCCACGCUUAACGUGGAGGGGCCAUUCGAAACUGCUGUGACUCGAGUCCGGUAGGGGAGUGUGGAAUUCCCGGUGUAGCGGUGAAAUGCGCAGAUAUCGGGAGGAACACCAGUAGCGAAGGCGGCACUCUGGGCCGGUACUGACGCUGAGGAGCGAAAGCGUGGGGAGCGAACAGG